Vicia villosa (hairy vetch) is the source of this 1162-nucleotide long non-coding RNA. RefSeq lists it as uncharacterized. The transcript has 4 exons. Lineage: Eukaryota; Viridiplantae; Streptophyta; Magnoliopsida; Fabales; Fabaceae. The record is from RefSeq and is a predicted model, not a curated record.
CUCUAUUUUCCUCGCUGCUCGUUGUGAACAACAAUGGAAGAGCACGAAAUUCUUCCUCUCAAACACUCUCUUUGUUCUCGGUUCCUCAUGACAACAACAACGGUUGAAUAAUCACAACUCUCGGAUUUUCAUGGCUUGAGAUGAUAUACAAGAAAGAAAUAUUUGUAGUAAUGAUUAAAGAGUAAUAUUGAGCGUGAGGUGCAAAGUAUACUUACCUUCGGCGAGGAAAUGUUCGCCAGAUUUUGAAUUUGAGAGAAACAUGUUCAUAACAAUAUUGAGAUUAAGAGUGAAAUUGACUUACCUACGGCGAGGAGAGUUUCGCCGGAUUAUCGUUGAGGCUUUUGAUGAAGAUGGCCACCACCUCUUUGGAUAUUAGGGAGACUUGAAGAUGGAAUUCAAGUUGGAACUCUCCACCAAGGUAUGAAGAAUUUUUCCUUUACUCUCUUCAAACCAUGGAACUUUGUAACUAGGAAUUCUCACUUCUCAAGUGGUUUUCUUUGGUUUGAAGAAUUGCUUCUUCUUGCCAAGAAACUUUAAAACUAUGAGAGAAAAGAGAGAAAUGAGAAAGCUAGUAGUAUAGUAGCUUUGGUGUGAUUUGCAAUGAAGUGAGGCCUUCUAUUUAUAGGAAAAGUUAAGGAAGUGUUUGGCAUUUGGUAAUAAACUUGAUAUCCAAAUUGUAAUCAUUGCAAAAAUCUCAUAAGAAUAAGAAUAUUCUUUAUGACAUUAUUUCUUAUGCAAGUGGGAAAAAAUAUCUUUGAUUCCUUUUUGUCUUGAAUUAUUUCUUUGCUAAAUACACCCCUUUUUGUCUUGAUUUGGGCUUUUGAAUAUUUUGUUGAGCUUUUUGCUAAUCUCACCCUUCUUGUUUCUUUUUCCAUGUGACAUGAGCAUUCUUGAUGAAAGCAUGAAGAAAUUCAAUUUUGAAGAAUGAAGACUUUGAAGAUUGAAGAAUUCAAGAAAGUCUUUGAAGCUUUACUUUUCUUUUUCUUGUAAUUCCAAUUUAUUCCAACUUUAAAUUGUAUGAACUUUGCAUUCUUGAAAAUGAAUGGAAUUUUGUAAUUCUUGAACUUUAGAUAAAGUUCCUUUGUAAUUCAUUUGUUCCAUGUAAAUGCUUGAACUUCUUUUAGAACUUGAAUGAAAUUAUUAUUCAAUCAUGAAAUUCCAA